Molecule: ribosomal RNA, 520 nt
Filed under: uncultured Glomus
Lineage: Eukaryota; Fungi; Glomeromycota; Glomeromycetes; Glomerales; Glomeraceae
Description: SSU rRNA
Rfam family: Eukaryotic small subunit ribosomal RNA
Source: RNAcentral
AGCAGCCGCGGUAAUUCCAGCUCCAAUAGCGUAUAUUAAAGUUGUUGCAGUUAAAAAGCUCGUAGUUGAAUUUCGGGAUCAAUUAAUUGGUCGUGCCUCUGGUACGUACUGAUUUUAUUGGUUUCUCCCUUCUGACGAACCAUGAUGUCAUUAAUUUGGUGUCGUGGAGAAUCAGGACUGUUACUUUGAAAAAUUAGAGUGUUUAAAGCAAGCUAACGCUUGAAUACAUUAGCAUGGAAUAAUGAAAUAGGACGUUUGAUCCUAUUUUGUUGGUUUCUAGGAUCGACGUAAUGAUUAAUAGGGAUAGUUGGGGGCAUUAGUAUUCAAUUGUCAGAGGUGAAAUUCUUGGAUUUAUUGAAGACUAACUACUGCGAAAGCAUUUGCCAAGGAUGUUUUCAUUAAUCAAGAACGAAAGUUAGGGGAUCGAAGACGAUCAGAUACCGUCGUAGUCUUAACCAUAAACUAUGCCGACUAGGGAUCGGAUGAUGUUAAUUUUUAAUGUACUCAUUCGGCGCCUUAC